UGGGAACAUACCCUUUGGUUUGGAAUAACUCAGGGAAACUUGAGCUAAUACCGGAUAAGCCCGUAAGGGGAAGGAUUUAUCGCCGAAGGAUUGGCCCGCGUCCGAUUAGCUAGUUGGUGAGGUAAUGGCUCACCAAGGCGACGAUCGGUAGCUGGUCUGAGAGGAUGAUCAGCCACAUUGGGACUGAGACACGGCCCAAACUCCUACGGGAGGCUGCAGUGGGGAAUAUUGGACAAUGGGCGCAAGCCUGAUCCAGCCAUGCCGCGUGAGUGAUGACGGCCCUAGGGUUGUAAGGCUCUUUCACCCACGACGAUAAUGACGGUAGUGGGAGAAGAAGCCCCGGCUAACUUCGUGCCAGCAGCCGCGGUAAUACGAAGGGGGCUAGCGUUGUUCGGAUUUACUGGGCGUAAAGUGCACGUAGGCGGAUCUUUAAGUCAGGGGUGAAAUGCCGGAGCUCAACUUCGGAACUGCCUUUGAUACUGGAGAUCUUGAGUUCGGGAGAGGUGAGUGGAACUGCGAGUGUAGAGGUGAAAUUCGUAGAUAUUCGCAAGAACACCAGUGGCGAAGGCGGCUCACUGGCCCGAUACUGACGCUGAGGCGCGAAAGCGUGGGGAGCAAACAGGAUUAGAUACCCUGGUAGUCCACGCCGUAAACGAUGGAUGCUAGCCGUUAGGCAGCUUGCUGCUUAGUGGCGCAGCUAACGCUUUAAGCAUCCCGCCUGGGGAGUACGGUCGCAAGA
This 739-nucleotide ribosomal RNA is filed under the name uncultured bacterium. RNAcentral's name for it is "bacterial SSU rRNA". It matches the Rfam family "Bacterial small subunit ribosomal RNA", at positions 118 to 893 of the family's 1533-position model. The record is from RNAcentral.